GAGCUCGCGUCUGAUUAGCUAGUAGGUGUGGUAAGAGCGCACCUAGGCGACGAUCAGUAGCUGGUCUGAGAGGACGAUCAGCCACACUGGGACUGAGACACGGCCCAGACUCCUACGGGAGGCAGCAGUGGGGAAUUUUCCGCAAUGGGCGAAAGCCUGACGGAGCAAUACCGCGUGAGGGAGGAAGGCUCUUGGGUUGUAAACCUCUUUUCUCAAGGAAGAAAAAAAUGACGGUACUUGAGGAAUAAGCAUCGGCUAACUCCGUGCCAGCAGCCGCGGUAAUACGGAGGAUGCAAGCGUUAUCCGGAAUGAUUGGGCGUAAAGCGUCCGCAGGUGGCAAUGAAAGUCUGCUGUUAAAGAGUGAGGCUCAACCUCAUAAAAGCGGUGGAAACUACAUAGCUAGAGUACGUUCGGGGCAGAGGGAAUUCCUGGUGUAGCGGUGAAAUGCGUAGAGAUCAGGAAGAACACCGGUGGCGAAAGCGCUCUGCUAGGCCUGUACUGACACUGAGGGACGAAAGCUAGGGGAGCGAAUGGGAUUAGAUACCCCAGUAGUCCUAGCCGUAAACGAUGGAUACUAGGCGUGGCUUGUAUCGACCCGAGCCGUGCCGGAGCUAACGCGUUAAGUAUCCCGCCUGGGGAGUACGCACGCAAGUGUGAAACUCAAAGGAAUUGACGGGGGCCCGCACAAGCGGUGGAGUAUGUGGUUUAAUUCGAUGCAACGCGAAGAACCUUACCAAGACUUGACAUGUCGCGAACCUCUUUGAAAGGAGAGGGUGCCUUAGGGAGCGCGAACACAGGUGGUGCAUGGCUGUCGUCAGCUCGAGUCGUGAGAUGUUGGGUUAAGUCCCGCAACCAGCGCAACCCUCGUUUUUAUUUGCCAGCAUUAACUUUGGGCACUCUAGAAAGACUGGCCGGUGACAAACCUGGAAGAAAGUGGGGGAAUGACGUCCAAUUCAUCCUGCCCCU
Molecule: ribosomal RNA, 966 nt
Filed under: Camptylonemopsis minor MBDU013
Lineage: Bacteria; Bacillati; Cyanobacteriota; Cyanophyceae; Nostocales; Nostocaceae
Description: bacterial SSU rRNA
Rfam family: Bacterial small subunit ribosomal RNA
Source: RNAcentral